UGCGGAGGCCUAAGACGAUGCAUGUCGAGCGGAUGAGGGGAGCUUGCUCCCGGAUUCAGCGGCGGACGGGUGAGUAAUGCCUUAAGGAAUCUGCCUGGUAGUGGGGGACAACGUUCCGAUAUAGGAGCGCUAAAUACCGCAUACGUCCUACGGGAGAAAGUGGGGGAUCUUACGGACCUCACGCUAUCAGAUAGAGCCUAGGUCGGAUUAGCUAGUUGGUGCGCGCGUAAUGGCUCACGCUAGGCGACGAUCCGUAUACUGGUCUGAGAGGAUGAUCAGGUCACACUGCGACCUGAGACACGCCGUCCAGACUCCUACGGGAGGCAGCAGUGGGGAAUAUUGGAUCAAUGGGCGAAAGCUGAUCCAAGCCAUGCCGCGUGUGUGAAGAAGGUCUUCGGAUUGUAAAGCACUUUAAGUUGGCGAGGAUAGGGCAAUGUAAGUUAUACCUUGCUGCUUGGCGUUACAACAAGAAUAAGACCGGUUACUUCGUGCACAGCGGCGCGGG
This 505-nucleotide ribosomal RNA is filed under the name Pseudomonas citronellolis. RNAcentral describes it as "bacterial SSU rRNA". It matches the Rfam family "Bacterial small subunit ribosomal RNA", at positions 39 to 521 of the family's 1533-position model. Lineage: Bacteria; Pseudomonadati; Pseudomonadota; Gammaproteobacteria; Pseudomonadales; Pseudomonadaceae. The record is from RNAcentral.